UACGGAGGGUGCAAACGUUGCUCGGAAUCAUUGGGCGUAAAGCGCACGUAGGCGGCCUGAUAAGUCGGGCGUGAAAGCCCUGGGCUCAACCCAGGAAGUGCACUCGAAACUGUCAGGCUUGAAUAUGGAAGAGGGUCGCGGAAUUCCCGGUGUAGAGGUGAAAUUCGUAGAUAUUGGGAAGAACACCAGUGGCGAAGGCGGCUCACUGGCCCGUAACUGACGCUGAGGUGCGAAAGCGUGGGGAGCAAACAGG
RNAcentral lists this ribosomal RNA (253 nucleotides) under uncultured bacterium. RNAcentral's name for it is "partial 16S ribosomal RNA". It matches the Rfam family "Bacterial small subunit ribosomal RNA", at positions 524 to 776 of the family's 1533-position model. The record is from RNAcentral.